CAUCACUUCUUGAACGCGUGUUCAGCAACACUUUCCAUNNNNNNNNNNNNNNNNNNNNCACGGGGCCUGCUGACCCUCCUCUCCCCGCCGUAGCAGCUCAGCUUCCUUCCCUGCCGAGCUCGGCGGGGCGGCCCCGGCUGCGAUGCCACAGGCUCGGCCUUCAGGCCCUGCUGCGGCUCGGUGCUGACGUGCCAGCGGCGCCUUUGUCUCCCCCGCCGGGGAACGGCCUCACGCCCGUGGAUUGUUCCUCCCUCCACCGCUGACGGAGGCUGUUCCGCUCCAGCUCUCCCGGAUUACCCGGCAUUAGCCGCCCGUGGCAUAAAAGCAUCAGGCAGAGCUGUUGUGCACAGGGGAGAGUGCGGAGAGAGUGGGAGAACAAAAGCUGUUGCUUCCACAUCAGACCUGCUGUGGGAUUGGGAAGCACAGCUCCGUGCAGGGCCAGGAAGGCUGGAGUGGCGCAGCAGCCGCUCCCUGCACAGAUCCAGGGCGCAGCUGCAAGGAGGCCCUGCCUCGGGAAUCCUCCGGGUGCCCAAAGCAGCCCUGGCAGGGAGAAGCCUGACCUGUUUACCGGUGCCUCACCCUGCUCUUCCAUCCCUGCAGGUGCCCCGGAGGAAGGUCCCCGCGUGGUGUUCAUGGUGGACCUGUGGCACCCCAACGUGGCCGCGGCUGAGCGCCAAGCCCUCGACUUCAUCUUCGCGCCGGGACGAUGACGGCGCUGCCCGGCCUGACUACCUGAAGUGCAUGAUUUCUACACGCAUUGGCUACCUGGACACAGGCCCUGGGGAAGCAGGCUGGCUUUGUCCAAAGGUUGGUAACAUUCAUACAGUGGAUAAGCAAAGAUUAUCAAUAAACAGUUGUGCUGAAAACAGAACAGGCUUUGCCUGCUGCUCUGAGUCCCGGGUCAAGAACACACUGAGGGGUUGGGUCCUGCUUAUCUGGCUGCUGGUGGGGAGAAGUGGCCUAGAAAAAGCAGGAGCUGCAGGGUGGGAGGGGGCAUGGGCCUGUUUGCCAGUGAUACAGUGAGCAAGGGUAGUGCUUUAAAAUAACCACCCCGUGGAAACUCCGUCCUGACCAGUUACAGCCUCCCAGGCCUGGAUAUGGCCAGGUUGGAUGGGGCCCUGAGCAGCCUGAUCUAGUGGGUGAAUCCUUGCCUAUGGCAGGACCUUGCAAAUGGAUAUUUGAGGUCUUUUUCAACCCAAACCAUUCUGGGAUUCUGUGAUGUCAGUGCAGCCCAGGCUGCCAAGGAGCACAGGGAUCUCCCACAGCCCAUUGGACUGGGCACAACUGUGGCAGUGCUGCCUGGCCCAGGGCAGCAGAGACUGUCCCCAGCCAUCCCCAGGAGCAGCUGUAGGCCUGAAGCUCCCUGGGCUACACAGAAGCCACCAGCCUUGCCAGAGCAUCCACAAAUCAUUUCAGGAAUUGCUUCCAGCUGCCUGCACUGAUGGAGCAAAGGGAGCAGCUUCCCAGGAGCAGCUCCAGGGCAGAGGGUGCUGCUCAAAUCCC
RNAcentral lists this long non-coding RNA (1503 nucleotides) under Cyanistes caeruleus (blue tit). RNAcentral's name for it is "lncRNA (ENSCCEG00000016013.1)". Lineage: Eukaryota; Metazoa; Chordata; Aves; Passeriformes; Paridae. The record is from RNAcentral.